RNAcentral lists this long non-coding RNA (892 nucleotides) under Homo sapiens (human). RNAcentral's name for it is "HSALNT0041504". Lineage: Eukaryota; Metazoa; Chordata; Mammalia; Primates; Hominidae. The record is from RNAcentral.
GGCCACCUAAAAAACUGUUCUUCAAAAGCAAGCUUGUUUAAGUUCCAUAAGUUGCUUAGCACAAAAAAUAAAGGAUCAUACAGAAAUAAAUGGUCCAGGGCCCUGGUGGGAUUCCAUGUAGCAUGGAGUCUGGGCCUUAGCAGCUUAACUCCCUGCAAAAAAAAAAAAAAAAAAAAAAAAAAAAGAAAAGAAAAGGGAAGUAUACCCUACUGGGGAAUGGAAGUUUAGGGAAGCCAUUCCAAAGGCCUCAAGUUCUGAGCCAGCCACAGAGACCAUGGCCCAGGCGAUGUGCCAGCAUCAACAGGGCAAUGACAGUGACACAGAGCAGCCAGGACUACGCUGGGCAGGGGAUGCCUGGACUUCAUGUCCGCAGGUGUACCCAUAAAAGAGGAGUGACUGGGGCCAUCUCACAGCUACCACCUGGAAUCUUAAAAGCCCAUGGAACUAUGAGAGAGGACAAUUGGUGGGAACAAGUAGGAAAAAAGAUACAUCUGCACCUCUAAGCUAGUGUCAUCAGGAGACAUCUGAUCCGGCCUAAAUGACUGUUUUAGAAGAAAGUGGAUAUUCCACCAGUCAAUCAAGAAAUUUCCACAGAAGAUAAAAGGCAAGCAGAUUGAAUAUGGGAAUUUACCCAAUUCCAAGAGAAUUUGUUGUGUCCUGCAAUCAUUUGGUUUUACAUCUGUGUCCCAUCUAGGAGCAGUCACCCAGUCAUUUAACCAAAUACCAAAUCCUUAAAUUGUCUGCAAAUACACUGCGGUUCAUUUGGGUAGAUUUCUUUUUAAAGAAAGUCUAUAUAUUAUUAUUAAAAUAAUAGCACAUGUUUAUUAGUAGACAAUUUAGAAAGUAUAUUCAAACCAAAAAAUAAAAGAAAAUGAAAUUAUCCAUAUUUUCC